GAUGAACGCUGGCGGCGUGCCUAAUACAUGCAAGUCGAGCGAACAGACGAGGAGCUUGCUCCUCUGACGUUAGCGGCGCACGGGUGAGUAACACGUGUAUAACCUCCCUAUAAGACUGGGAUAACUUCGGGACACCGGCGCUAAUACCGUAUAAUAUCUUGAACCGCAUGGUUCAAUAGUGAAAGUCGGUUUUGCUGUCACUUAUAGAGGGAUCCACGCCGCAUUGGCUGGUUGUUAAGGUAACGGCCUACCAAGGGGAGGAGGCGUAGCCGACCUGAGAGAGGGAUAGGCCACACGAGAACUGAGACACGGACCAGACUCCUACGGGAGGCAGCAGUAGGGAACCUUCGGCAAUGGGCGAAAGCAUGACGGAGCAACGCCGCGUGAGUGACGAAGGUCUUCGGAUCGUAAAACUCUGUUAUUAGGGAAGAACAAAUGUGUAAGUAACUAUGCACGUCGUGACGGUACCUAAUCAGAAAGCCACGGCUAACUACGUG
This 497-nucleotide ribosomal RNA is filed under the name uncultured bacterium. RNAcentral describes it as "partial 16S ribosomal RNA". It matches the Rfam family "Bacterial small subunit ribosomal RNA", at positions 28 to 507 of the family's 1533-position model. The record is from RNAcentral.